AUCAUGCCAUUAUAAUUGGCCUAAGGAAAGGCUCUAUGCAAGCUCACUAGCACCAAUGAGAAAGAAGAAGAACGGUGGGCAGUCAUGCCCUUCAGAAGCAGAUAUGACGUAAUCCAGGAGGGUUUGCCCUCUACUGUAGAUUAAGCCAACAGUUUAGCAACCUUGGGAAUGGCACCUCCACAGCAAAGACUUGCCAUUGGCUCAGAUAAUCUUCAUCAGGCAGAAUAGAACACUAAUUCUUAAUACUGGUGACUAAUGAGAAAUGCUAAACGAUUUUAAAUCUGAGAUUAUAUUUUCAUCCUUGUCUAAGUGUCUGGAACACUGUGAUUAUUUAAACCAGGGGUUUAAAUAAACCCUGAUUGUUAGCCAGAGAUUAUGAAGAUGAUGGGAUUUGUAGUCAGGAAACAUCUUGACUACAAAGAUGGAGAUGAAGUACAUUGUGUUCAACAUCUCCAUUUAAAUUGUGCCUGAAAGCUGACCAAUUUAUAUGUUAGAAGUCCUCUUUUGAUUAUUUCUUUCCAGGAUUGUUUUUGCUCUUUGAGAAUCCAUCUUCUUUUAAUGUGUUGCACCAGGACAGUGGUGGGAAACCUCUCCCCCCACCCCUGAAUCCAUCAGCUCUAGCUAGCAAAGUCAUUGGUUAGAGAUCAUGGGAAUGGCUGUCAAACAAGUUCUGGAAGGUCGCAGAUUACCCAUCUUUGAUUAGGGGGACUGGUUAGUGGUGCAAUUGGUUGAGAGACUGAGCUUGGAUGUGUUCCGGUGCAUAUGGACAAUCACACUAAAGACAUCAAGGAGGAGUCAAAUGGGUCAUCAGAUUGAUGGUGAAACCAUCUACAUCCUAGGUGCAUACCCUUUGGACCAAGUAAAAGGAUUUCACAAACAUUGGCAUUGCUUAUAGUGACUGUUCCUUGCCUUUUGUGUUCCACAGAUGGGCAGUAAGAGACAACUGUGAAUGGGAAGACAGAAAGUGAUAACUGCAUUCUUCUGUCCCACCCACUGGACUUCCAAACACCAUGGGAAUAAGGCAGUGUGGCAGAGGCUUCUCAUGGGAUCCCAUCAAACGUGGAAGACAAAACAGCAGGUAUUGCUUCAGAUAAGAGCAGUAGAAGUGUUCGGUGCCACUGCUUGCUGUGAUGGUCUUUUGGUCUAGGAUGACAGCAAAUGCAAAUAUGCAAUUUUAUGAGAUACCAAGACAGACUGUGAGCGGUUGGAAUGGCUUUUUAAAAAAUUUAAAUUGUUCUCAGCUGGGUAGAACUGAGCUAGAUAAAGAAUCACCCUGUAACAUCUGAACAUGUAUUAAUCAAAGAAAGAAAAUGUUGACUUUUAAAUGAAUGCAAGGAACUGGCAUCACUUUUCUCAAUGAGAAAA
RNAcentral lists this long non-coding RNA (1365 nucleotides) under Pogona vitticeps (central bearded dragon). RNAcentral describes it as "lncRNA (ENSPVIG00000010239.1)". Lineage: Eukaryota; Metazoa; Chordata; Lepidosauria; Squamata; Agamidae. The record is from RNAcentral.